AGAGUUCUAUAGCCCUUGUGAGCAUUAAUCCUUUACUUAGGCUCUUGGUUGCUUUCCUCCCAGUUUGAAGUUGCAUGACAGUGUGAUGCAACUAAGAAAAGAAAAGCUAAUGCCAUUCUAGGCUGCAUCAACAGUAGCAGAGUGUCCAGAUCAAAGGAAGUAAUAGCAAUAGUACAAUUCUAUUCUGCCUUGCUCAGACCCCACUUGGAGGACUGCAUCCAGCACACAGCUGGAAUGUGUUCAGAGGAGGGCAACCAAGAUAACCAACCCUUAUGAGGAACGGUUGAGGGAGUUGGGUAUGUAUAGCCUGAAGAAGAGAAGACUAAGAGAAGAUACGAUGAUGUUGUUGUUGUUGAUUAGUUGUUUAGUCGUGUCCGACUCUUCGUGACUCCAUGGACCAGAGCACGCCAGGCACUCCUAUCUUCCACUGCCUCCCGCAGUUUCGUCAAACUCAUGUUCGUAGCUUCAAGAACACUGUCCAACCAUCUUGUCCUCUGUCGUCCCCUUCUCCUUGUGCCCUCCAUCUUUCCCAACAUCAGGGUCUUUUCCAGGGAGUCUUCUCUUCUCAUGAGGUGGCCAAAGUAUUGGAGCCUCAGCUUCAGUAUCUGUCCUUCCAGUGAGCACUCAGGGCUGAUUUCCUUCAGAAUGGAUAGGUUUGAUCUUCUUGCAGUCCAUGGGACUCUCAAGAGUCUCCUCCAGCAGCAUAAUUCAAAAGCAUCAAUUCUUUGGCGAUCAGCCUUCUUUAUGGUCCAGCUUUCACUUCCUCACAUCACUACUGGGAAAACCAUAGCUUUAACUAUACGGACCUUUGUUGGCAAGGUGAUGUCUCUGCUUUUUAAGAUGCUGUCUAGGUUUAGCUAAAGGGCUGGCGCAUAGAGCCAACUUGUUUUCCACUGCUCCAGAGCAUAGGACCCAGAACAACAGGUUCAAAUAGCAAGAAAGGUGAUUCCUAUGAAACAUUAGGAAGAACUGUAAGAGCUGUUCGGCAGUGGGAUGGACUACCUUGGAAGCUGAUAGACUCUCCUUCAUUUGAGGUUUUUUAGCAGAGGUUGGAGGGCAACCUGACAUGGAUGCUUUAGUUGAGAUUUCUGCAUUGCAGGGAGUUAGACUAGAUGACCCCCAAGGUCCCUUCAAACUCUAAAGGUCUAGGCUUCUGUUAUUGUCUCUGGCUCAGUAGUGGAUUGCAUGGUGGGUCAGCACUGCUCACCUGACUAGCCGAGUUGCUGCUGUGGAAUAGGAAGGAAAGGUGAAGAUACAAGAUGAUGGGGAGGUCUCAUGUGUGUGGGGGGGGGGCUACCUCUGUUCUCACACAGAUUAAAUGGAAUUACCCUCCUGGUUCAUUCUGAGCAAACGAAGGACAGUCAAAUAAAUGGGAAUACUCUAGGAUAUUGGUGUAAUGCUGUCCUGAAAAUCUACCCUUUCAAGAAGUGCUGCACCACAUGUUGCACCACCUGAAGCUAUCAAAGAGAGAGGAAAUGUAUGUCUCUUAAUAUUCAAAAUAGGGUGAGUUUUCCAAUUUCACAGUUCAAGUUUCUGAAUGAGAAAUUAUGACGAGCAAUUCAAACUCCCAUUUUGGAAGUGCAUCUUUUAUCUCAAAGAAAACUUUUUUUGUCAUCAUGUGAUUAUUUUAAUUCAAGCAUGCUGUGAAAUCUCAUGAGCUAUCAACUGGGAAAUGACAAUGGCUAAAUACUGCAGCAUGUUGUUUUCUAGAAGCUACUGUAUUGGGGGGGGGGUACCACCGCAUGUUGCCAACUAGAUAGUAUUAGCCACUGUUCAAAACUUCUUCAUGUAUUUCAUCAAAUAUAGCAGGGAUGAGUUACCUUUUUCAGUCAAAGGUCCAUUGCGUUCCAUUGUGGAAACUUGGGGGGCCACCUGCCACUAGUGGGUGGGGGUCAGAGGCAAAAGUGGGAGGAGCAAUGGAUGUGACUUGUAUCUUUGGACAUUUCAGCCCUGCAGAAAUAAAUAUAUUUCUAUAUAAGUACAAGUGUAAGGAGGUCAUCACACUGCAGUUCUUGUGGCUGCCAGUAGAUGGCCAUAGCAACUCCAGUGUCACAUAAAGCAGCCAGGCACGUGAGUAAGCAAGCAGCUGCUCAGUCAACCUCUUUAAUGGAGCAGGGAAGGCACUUCACUGAACAGUUUGAUAAACUGCUCUGCAAAAUGCCUCCACUCCUCCAUUAAACAUGGCUGCAGCAAGGUUUAACAGAAGAGGGAAGGUGCUUCAUAAAAAUGCUGUCUGAAGCUUCUUUAAAGGAGGUUGUGUAAGCUUUGAAGGGAGGGACCUAGUGUGCUCCGACACUGCCUCUGACAGUGGAGGAAAAACAUAGCCAUCAUUUAUUCACCAUGAAUGUGUCCAAUUAUAUUUUCAAGCCAUCCAAGUAGGUGGUCAUCAUUGUGGGGGUGAAUUCCAUAGUUUAACUAUGUGCUAUGUGGUGUGGGAUGCAGUGCAAUUAUCUGCAUUUCUGUGUAUGUAUACACAAGUUCGUUUUUGGUGUGUCCACAUAGCUCAAUAACCAAUUUCAAACUGGCAAUGUUGCCCCCAGAUUCUAAAAGGAUUGUACUUUCCAGAUCUUAUUCAAUAGGUGACCGUAAGACUACAUGGACAGUGGGUAAUGGCUUUAAAUAAUGGAUCUGCUGCAGAGAUAUUGAAUCAUCUGUCUCCAGAUCCCACCAUCUGCCGAUAUCUUCUUGAUUGUUUUCAUUCUUCCAUAUAAUUUGUUCUUGGAUUAGGCUGGUGUUAUGUCUAGAUUCUGGCACUCCCAACUUCAGUUAUUUUUACACUUGCCUUUUGCUUUUGUACUUCAGAUAGCACAGAUGUUCGCUUUCUUUACCUCCCAAAUUAGGAACUCUCUUCCCUCAAAAGCAUGGCUGGCACCAAUGUACCACUAAUAAAUGCUCACACAAUGGCUGGCAACGAAGCAGCCUAUCUGGGUGAGCAAUGUGACUUUGGAGUCGUGAGCUCACGCAAUACUGCAGCUCUUCUUUCACAAAAAAUCACGGUCUUCACAUUUGCAGAUUUCAAAUUUGCAGCUGCGAUUCCAUGGUACUGACAUUGUAUUUCAAAGCAGAGUUGACAUUCACAUCAGGAGCCGGAGCCUACUUUCAGAUCAUUAUUAAGUAAAACUCCACAGUGCUCUUUGAAAAUACUUUUUAUAAAUAAUAACGGCACCUGCUUCUUCAUGUACCUCUUCUGACUGCAAUAGGUGUCAGCCGAGCGGCAAACAAAUCUUCACCAUUCAUUGAUGCUAAUAGCAUUGAGCACACAUUUCUAAUUCCGUUACAGAUGUUUUGCUGACAGAGAAAGAUGACUCACCAUUUCUGGAGCAGGGUAGAGACAGGCAUGCCAUCUCAUCAAAGGCAAUAAUCAAUUUUCUCCCAAAUCUGCUCUGCAUUGAAUGAUGCCAUAAUAAAUUAAUCGGGAACAAACCAGGCCAACGGUAGGGUUGACGAAUAAAAUGUGUCACACAGACAGGGGAAGCUUAUAAAUCAAUUCAGCUGUGGCACAAAGGUCAGGCAAUGAGGCACUAAUAAAGCAUGCCUGAUAGCUAGCAAAGAAAUUACUUUGACUUCUUUUUCUCCCCCUUUUCCUUGAUGCGGCAUUUUCAUUAUGUUGAAUCAAACCAUCCCAUUAUUGGUUAGCUGCUGCGCCUUCGCAUGGGCAAGAAAGAUCUGUCCACUGUCUCCAGUUUCCAUUACUGUCCUUAUUAUAUGGAGGGAAACUGUUGGAAGCCACAAUUGGGAGCCUCUUUGGAAGCUACAACUGGGUCAGAAGGCAACAGUAAGCCAGUGUAGCACUAGGGGGCAGAGUGUUGACCUAGGACCUGUGAGACAAGAUGUCAAAUCACCACACAACCAUCAAGGUCACCGGGUGACCUUGGACCAGUCACCAAGUCUGUGUGCACAACAAGGCUUUGAAGCAUACACACACCCCUCUAAAAAAACCCCAAAAGGUUCUUGGAAACUUUAGUAUGUUAAGGGUGCUGUGAACUAUAUUUCUGUGAGGAGUAAACAGUGGUUCACAGAAUUCUUCCUCCCGCAAGCUACUGUUGGUAUAUUGGAAGCUUCCUUCCAUCGUUGGGCAAUAACUAUUCUGUGAACCACCGUGAGACCUCCAGGUAUAGGACAGUAUAUAAAUUCAAUUAACAACAACAAGAAGAAGAAGCCUAGCUGCUGUGAACAAGAAGGAAAUUAAUUCUUUAAAUUUGAGAUUAGAAUUUGCAGUUAGAUCUAAGGAUAACAAGGCAAGUGGCGAAUUAGGAAAAAUUAGACUGUAUUGUGAUUUUGGAGGCCAGACGAAACACUUUUUUCCCAACCCAAAAGCCAUUAACCAAAGUACAUUUCCACCAAGUAUGAAAAUAAGAGCAUUGUUCUCCACAGCCUUUCCAGAGAAGUGGUGAGCUUGAAGAAAUAAUUAUUGCAAGGUGUGUGGGCUAUUUCAGUUUCCCGUCUUGUUCCGAUAACUUUUGUGUUGCCAACAAAGCUGUUUGGUAUCCUGCCAUACAUUGUUGACACUGCCCCUUUCAUGUCAUAGCUAGGUCUACUAUGUAGCGAUUCGAAAAGGGUCUCAAGCCCUCACCUGUGUGUACCAAAUGCUUUUGCGAAAGUGCCCAGUUGGUAAAGUUGUAGCCAAUACAAUCCCAGAAUUCCUGUUCCACACUGUGAUGUGAUGUAUUACAUUUUUUAAUUUUAUUUUGGUCAAUUAUAGUAUUUCUAAAUUUACAUUUAUACAUGUAAAUUAGCACAGAGAGAUUUUAUGGAAGGUGAUGUUCUUUUUUGUUGUUUUCGUGUGCACAAGAAGAAGAGAAAAAGCUGAAGUAAAUCUGGUUGCCGUAGGCAGUGGUGAGAAUCAGAUCAAUGACCUUCUCAAGCAUACCUUGAUCUCUCAGCCACAAUGCUAUACCUGCAUGAACGCACACACGCACUCUCACACACAUAUUUCCCUCGUUUCCCGGAUCAUUUUUUUCCUGAUUUGCUGCAAGAAAACAUUGCAGUGAAGAAGAAGAAGCAGGAAAAAAGAGGGAGACUUUAAACAGGAGCAUUACUCAGAGGGCAGAAGAAACCUCCCUCAAUAACACCAGCUGGAAAAAGUGAUUUGCUAAAGAUUGCCGCCCAAAUAGCUACAUUCAUUAGCUGUCACAGUGUAUCCCAGAUCAGGCUAUUAACCAUUCCAGCUUUGACAUUUUUAUGUCUCAAGCCCUAGAUUUUUUCCAUCAAAUGUCUUUAUUAAAUCAGAUUAAUCUCCUGGUGAAAUUACUCCUUCUUCUUAAAGAGAGCACAAAGAGCAAAAUAGCUUUUGAUCGCAGAAUCAUAGAGUUGGUAGGUUCGUCAAAGGCCAUACAAUCCAACCCUUUGGCAAUGCAGCGUUCCUGAUAAGAUCCAUCCUUUUACUUAAAAUCAUUGAAUGAAGGCGAAGCUACCCUCUACUGCUGCAGUCUGCUCCACUUUGUGACGUGUUGUCAGGAAGUUCUUCUACAUAUUUAGUCAAAAUCCUUGUCCUGAGCUCAGCAGGGCUGUUGGGGUUGGGCUGGCAUAGGAACAGCAAGAAGCAGAGAGGUGAGCUGAAUUGGAGGGUGCCAAAUUCACUGCAUUUUUUUUAAAAAAAAUAUAUUUUAGUUUAUAAUUUUUAUUUUAUUUUGCAACACAAACACAUACACUCAUAAAACUGAACAUAAAAAUGAAAACAGAAGAACAGAAAGAAACACAAACGUGAAAAGAAAAAAAACAAUGUCAAAGUAAAAUACAAAGGCUUCUACAAAAACAAAUAGUGAACAAUGUAUGUAUACCAUGUUUCAAUUCUUCUUUUCUUCCAAUUGAAUUUCUUCAUCCUC
Molecule: long non-coding RNA, 5825 nt
Filed under: Podarcis lilfordi (Lilford's wall lizard)
Lineage: Eukaryota; Metazoa; Chordata; Lepidosauria; Squamata; Lacertidae
Source: RNAcentral